GACCCCAUAGUCUAGCGGUUAGGACACCAGGUUUUCAUCCUGAUAACACGGGUUCGAGUCCCGUUGGGGUCACCA
This 75-nucleotide transfer RNA is filed under the name Rickettsiales bacterium. Its description in RNAcentral is "tRNA-Glu". It matches the Rfam family "tRNA". Rfam says of the family: Transfer RNA (tRNA) molecules are approximately 80 nucleotides in length. Their secondary structure includes four short double-helical elements and three loops (D, anti-codon, and T loops). The record is from RNAcentral. Lineage: Bacteria; Pseudomonadati; Pseudomonadota; Alphaproteobacteria; Rickettsiales.